RNAcentral lists this long non-coding RNA (2263 nucleotides) under Anas platyrhynchos platyrhynchos (common mallard). RNAcentral describes it as "lncRNA (ENSAPLG00000025289.1)". The record is from RNAcentral. Lineage: Eukaryota; Metazoa; Chordata; Aves; Anseriformes; Anatidae.
UAAGAACAGAAGUUUUUUUCCUGACAGUGCAGUAAUACAAAGUUAAGAGUUAUUUUCUUUGCAUUUUAUGCAAUUAUUAUAUUACUUUUUAGUGUGUGAAAAUGCAUAUUUUUAAAAUAUAAUGGUCUUCUGAUUUAGAUGCGUCUGAAAUUUAAACCAUCAAAGAUUUUUUUAAAAAUCUGUUAAUUUGGACCUGUUGUUCAGAAUAAAUUAACACUUGCAAUUAUAAAAUUAUAAAUCCCAUAUAGAAGUAGUCAUUUGCUGAACACUCCAUUCAUGAACUGCAUAUACAUAAACAUUCUAAUGGAACCUAACGUGUAAGGAGGAAUGGACUACUUGGCUGACAUUUAGAGUGGUCUAGCAAAAGAGAAUUGGAAAAUAAUAAAAGGUAAAAUAGGCAAGGGAUGAUGAACAAGAAUGAACAGGAUAAACUGAUUCAGUAACAAAACAGAAAGGCUUCUGAAAAGUCAGGUAUAAAAAUUGCUGCAGCCUAUGUCCAGGUUGGCCAAGAUACACACAAACAAUCCACACAACGGCCUUGGCAGCAUUACACUGAUAAUAUUUUUGCAAGGUUGAAUUAUUGCCGAACAAUACUGUAGUAUGUUGCACACAAAUAUCCUGAUAUUUUUAUUAAGUGUCAAGCAUGUAUAUAUUCCUUUUUUUGCCUGCAAGAAUAACAUCUGCCACAGUUAGUUAAAAGAAAUUCCCACAUGACUUCUGUUUGACUUUCUGUGAGCGUCAACUUCAUGGGGUCCUAGUGGUUUCUGUGCACAUGUCCCUGUUUUCUCGAGGUUCAGCAGGCACAGUGAGGGUGGGCUCCGUGGCGGUGCUCCUGCGCCACGAACAGCGUUGUGUGACUCUUCCACAGUCUGCACCUCCUUCUGCCAUCGUGCGUCUCACUGCGAGGAUCCCUUGGCAGAGCUUCAGCAACUGUGAAUUUCCACACUUGGGGUUCUGCCAUCUGGGGGCUGCAGGUGAACACUCUCACAUCUAUAGAUGUAUGCAUGUGUGUAUAAAGAUGUGUAAGCAUAUUAGCGAGUGCAUAUGUAAAUUUAGAAUUUUGAAGAUCCCUAAUGAUAACGCUAAAAAUACAAUGCUUUUAAAAGAAAGCUAUAGGAAUUACCAAAGGGAGUCAGACCAUUUAUUGGUAUAAAGAGUUCAUGGGUUCAAAUUUCCUCGCCUUUAAUAACAUUAGGUGAUUACUGUAGAAGAUUAAAAACUAGCCUGGGGAAGCAGUGUGCUCUAACAAAUAGGGCAUUUACACAUCAGGAGUCCAGGCUGAAAUACUGUUUUUGUGGUAGUCAGUAGGAAGAGUUCAGGGGAUCAUUGUUUUAACCUUGGUCUUACACCGAUGCUGGUAUUUAUCUUCAGUGUGGCUUUUUACAAGUUAUUUUUCCCCUGUUGGUGCCUCUUUUUUGCUUUCCCCUCCAUAAGCCUCAUAUCAUAUAUGUGAUAGUCUCAGAAAUAGUAACAUACUGGCACAAUAAUGAAAAAGUGGCAAAUACAUUUAUCAUUAGGUUCAAAUUUGAUCAGAAUUUUAGGAAUUACUAAAAAUUAAACUUUUACAUACAUUAAGUUUAGCAGUAUGGUAUUUUAAGAGUGAACUCCCUUUCAGGUGAUUCUUUUAUGAAGAUCCUAAGUUAACAUCUUAAAUUUAAAAAUUAACAGGCAUAUAAGAAAAUUCUUUCUUUUACUGCAAACUGUACAUUUUACAAUUUAAUAAGCUAGUGAUGUUAGACAGAAAGACGUACAUCCAAAUUCUUGUUUUUGAAACUUGUCCAAGUUACCACAAACAAUCUCAAACUGCACCGAGACGUGAUGGUAAUUUGGAUUUCAAGCUGCAAGACAUUGACUGGAAGACCUAGGAGACAAAUUCCAGAUUACAGACUGCUGGAAGGAAGAAGGGCAUAGAAAAGGGCAGAUGAGUUAGUUAAAUGUCUAAGUGGGAUUUUUGUAUUUAUAAAGGCUGCUAUCAGGAGAACCAGUGAACAGUAUUUAGCUUCAGGCUCUUCUUAAACUCUCACGUGACAAAAAUCAUGGAAAUUUCCUUUUUCUCUGACCCUAACAAAAUUGUUCUUUUUUGUCUUUGCAGUGUUCACUGUUUUCUAUAUAGAGAAAAAUAGACACUAAAAAAAAUAACAAAAAAAAAAAGCGGUAUGACCAACAACCAAGAACAGGUGGAAACCUUUACACAUAUGGAAACACAUUUCAAGUUCAAUUGGAAAUGAAUAAAUUAUAUGAAAUCUCACCGGUUACUGUUAGC